RNAcentral lists this transfer RNA (52 nucleotides) under Alistipes communis. Its description in RNAcentral is "tRNA-Ser". It matches the Rfam family "tRNA", at positions 24 to 71 of the family's 71-position model. From Rfam's summary of the family: Transfer RNA (tRNA) molecules are approximately 80 nucleotides in length. Lineage: Bacteria; Pseudomonadati; Bacteroidota; Bacteroidia; Bacteroidales; Rikenellaceae. The record is from RNAcentral.
CACCUGCUUUGGGAGCAGGGGGUCACAAGUUCGAAUCUUGUUACCCCGACGA